AUGGCUGUGGAGCUGAGGGACGCCGUCGGCCGGUAUGAGCUUCUCGAGAAGGAGAAUCGGGCAAAGGCGGCUGACCUGAAGAAGGUGCUGGAUUCGGCUAAGGAGACACGCUCUAAAAUUAGAGACACGCGGGAGGAACUUCGACAAGCCGGAGAGAUCGCGACUGGAAAUCCCUAUUUGUUGCGGAUGAAGUUCUUAGAUCCAAAGUAUGCUCCAUUGGAUAAGCUUUGGAGCGCUACAGAUGAGUAUGCGGACUUAGCGAAAAGUACGGUUGAUGCAACCAAGUUGUUCAAGGAUCAUAAAGAUAACAAAAUAAAAAGGCUAUUCUGGUCGCAAUUUAGUGCUCCAACGCGCUCAUUGCCAUUGAGUGAGAAGAUGGCCGCUAUAGCCGAUCUCCAUAGGCUGUCCGGUCUUGCAAUGAGUCUGUAA
Molecule: ribosomal RNA, 429 nt
Filed under: Triticum aestivum (bread wheat)
Lineage: Eukaryota; Viridiplantae; Streptophyta; Magnoliopsida; Poales; Poaceae
Description: partial small subunit ribosomal RNA
Source: RNAcentral